GAACAAAUAUUUGGUCGAGUAAGUUUUACUAAUGGGAGAUAUCAUGUAAUGAGAAGAAAAGGCAACAUAAUCACUACAAUACAAGUUUUUGCCUUUGCUCUUCCCUGUUUUGACCAAGCCCCACUCUGUGCCCUACUGUUUUGCUCCUGUUUGUUUUGACCAAUGCAUGAGCACCAUAGCCUCAUAUAGAACUACAAGUCAGUGAACAUUUGUAAGAGCUCUA
This 223-nucleotide long non-coding RNA is filed under the name Homo sapiens (human). RNAcentral's name for it is "non-protein coding lnc-FIGN-3:1". The record is from RNAcentral. Lineage: Eukaryota; Metazoa; Chordata; Mammalia; Primates; Hominidae.